CUUCCAGAGUAUCAAUUGGAGGGCAAGUCUGGUGCCAGCAGCCGCGGUAAUUCCAGCUCCAAUAGCGUAUAUUAAAAUUGUUGCAGUUAAAAAGCUCGUAGUUGAAUUUCUGCUGCAUUGCUUGUGUCCCUCUGGGGUCUGUGCAUGUGGCUUUUUUCGGACGGAGUUUCUUUGUCUGAAUGUUUACUUUGAGAAAAUUAGAGUGCUCAAAGCAGGCUUUCGCCUUGAAUAGUUUAGCAUGGAAUAAUAAAGUAGGACUUUGGUUCUAUUUUGUUGGUUUUAGGUACCAAAGUAAUGGUUAAUAGGAACAGUUGGGGGCAUUCGUAUUUAACUGUCAGAGGUGAAAUUCUUAGAUUUGUUAAAGACGAACUACUGCGAAAGCAUUUGCCAAGGAUGUUUUCAUUAAUCAAGAACGAAAGUUAGGGGAUCGAAGACGAUCAGAUACCGUCGUAGUCCUAACCAUAAA
RNAcentral lists this ribosomal RNA (466 nucleotides) under Theileria annulata. Its description in RNAcentral is "SSU rRNA". It matches the Rfam family "Eukaryotic small subunit ribosomal RNA", at positions 533 to 1036 of the family's 1831-position model. Lineage: Eukaryota; Apicomplexa; Aconoidasida; Piroplasmida; Theileriidae. The record is from RNAcentral.